UUUCCGUAGGUGAACCUGCGGAAGGAUCAUUAAAGAACGCCCCGUUUUUUGAAAUGGGUAAUUCUAAACCGUGUAUACAUACCUUUGUUGCUUUGGCAGGCCGCCCCUCAGGGCGUCGGCUCCGGCUGACUGCGCCUGCCAGAGGACCCGAACUCUUUUGUUUAGUGAUGUCUGAGUACUAUAUAAUAGUUAAAACUUUCAACAACGGAUCUCUUGGUUCUG
RNAcentral lists this unclassified non-coding RNA (222 nucleotides) under plant metagenome. Its description in RNAcentral is "partial contains small subunit ribosomal RNA, internal transcribed spacer 1, and 5.8S ribosomal RNA". The record is from RNAcentral.